AGAACAGAUGAGAGUUGAGAGAGGACAAAUGAAAGGAAAAGUGAACAAAGCAGAUGAAUGAGGUGAGAGGAAAGAGGAGAGGAGAAAAGAGUUACCUGUUGUGCCUCAAGAACCAGUUUUGCAUAGACCUGUUCUCUUACCCGUUUUCCACCAAGGCAGAACUGGUGCUAGUUUGGAGCCAGAGACUAGUUUCAAAUCGGUUCUUUGGUUUUCCACCACCAAAGCACCAGCUCCGAACCAGUAAAAGUGGUUCUUAAGUAGCACCAUAUCAUUGCUGGUCUAGAAGUAAGAACCGCUUACGUCAGCGGCUGGGGGCGGGGUUACCGUGACCAACAAGACGAGAGAAACUUUGUGAUCCGCCAUUUUUCGACAGCAGCUGAUCGAGCAAACAACAACGCAAUGGACGCUACUAGGCAAAAACAGCACUGGUCAGACGAGGAAACAAGCUGCUUUCUUGCACUCUGGUCCUCAUCAGAAGUCCAGAGUAAGUUAGAUGGGGCUUCGCGGUCGAAACCGGUUUUGCAGCAGAUUCAGAGAGAGAGAUGGCUGUAGCUGGUUUUGACCGGAGCCUCGUCCAGAUAACAAACUAAAAAAACUAAAGAAAGACUAUAGGGACCAAAAAAAGGACAUCGGUCAAAGCGGCAAUGGGCGCCCUCGGCGAUAGGCCGGCAUGCCAGGUGACCUGGGCGCUGAACUCGGCCACAAUAAUGCUGGAGUCAAUGCUGGAUGAUUCGCCGCAGCAAAGUUGCACUGAUCAUAAACUGUCUGCCAUCAACGACCGUGAAGACAACGCUGAGUUGCCGCCACCGCUGGGCUGCAGCUCUGGAGAAGCAUCUUCAGAAUGGGGAAAAAGGAAGAGAGAUGGUACCUCGGAAAUCCUUCAAUAUCUGGAAAGGGCAGAUGAGAGGUUCCAGCAGCACAGCAAGGCAAUGGAUAAUGCCUUUUCUCAGGACAUGAGCGCGGACACACAAUCCCUGCUUGGACUCAUAGGGCGCAUGGUGGCCGUAUUGGAGGCACAAGUUAAAAAAUAAUUUUGGUUGCCGCUUUUCAUGUCAUUUAAAUUUUUUUUUUUACAAUUGUUGUUACCUACAGAACUUUAUUUUUUUAUAAGAUUUCUGUUUUUUUUUUGUUGGUUUAAAUAAACAUGUUUAGUAAUGCAAAUAUCUGGUCCAGUUUCUUAAACACUUA
Gasterosteus aculeatus aculeatus (three-spined stickleback) is the source of this 1188-nucleotide long non-coding RNA. The record is from Ensembl. NCBI's taxonomy places the organism in Eukaryota, Metazoa, Chordata, Actinopteri, Perciformes, Gasterosteidae.